This 849-nucleotide long non-coding RNA is filed under the name Fukomys damarensis (Damara mole-rat). RNAcentral describes it as "lncRNA (ENSFDAG00000022707.1)". Lineage: Eukaryota; Metazoa; Chordata; Mammalia; Rodentia; Bathyergidae. The record is from RNAcentral.
AUUUGCUUUAUUUUUAUGAAUUUUUUUUCAUUUAUUUCUCUUCAGUGUCCCUUUCUGGCCCUGAACUCCACCUUAUCCCCAAGACGGAAACACUUGGUUCAGAUAAGUCAGAACUGCCUGGAAAUAGCACGGAACACUCCAGAGAAAGGCUUCAUUUGAGUAGGAAGCAACUGGAUCGAGUUUUGCUGGGCAGCUAACUCAGAGCCCUCUUCCAGAAUCUACUUUAAGAACAAUUCAUCAACAGAUGCUGCCAAGCUUCCUAGUGCACUAAAGCCAAGCUUGUAAUGGAACAUCAAGCAGCUGUGGAUGGUUAGAGGCAGCAAAUCGUUCCUCAGUCAUGGGCUCCAGGAUGAAGAAAAGAAAAUCAAUUCCGGGUGAAGUUGGAAGAGCAGUUACUUUUAAGGAAGGCAAUUUCUGAGGUCACGAGAUGCUCUCUUGGAAUGUUGGAUUGUGGGUGACCAUCUCCCAACAGCAAGAGGUUAUGGUGCUCCUGUCUGCAGAGGAGAAGGACAAAGAGGCAGAGGAAUCUCUCACUUCAAAUGAGAUUAGGGAGAUGUGUAAAAUGUGGGAAACAAUGCAAAAUUUUGUAGGAAACUGCUCGAAUAAGGCUGUAGUAGUGUGAGUAAUCAAUUUGUUUAAUGGCAAUGCAAUGUCACAUUUCUGUGAAAUCCUCAAAAGGAGGCAAAAGCCAGUAUCAUUGGAUAGGGUCCUUGUUAAAGUUGCCCAAAAAGAAAAAGAUUCCUUUGAACAGUGAUAGAUAACAAUAAUUUUGUUAGUGAUAGUGAAAGUCAUCCUACCCAAUAACCCUCCUCUCAUCUCCCCCACCUAGUCAUGAAGGUUUGAGGAGGU